RNAcentral lists this ribosomal RNA (234 nucleotides) under uncultured Bacillota bacterium. RNAcentral's name for it is "uncultured Firmicutes bacterium partial 16S ribosomal RNA". It matches the Rfam family "Bacterial small subunit ribosomal RNA", at positions 99 to 334 of the family's 1533-position model. The record is from RNAcentral. Lineage: Bacteria; Bacillati; Bacillota.
CGGACGGGUGAGUAACGCGUGGAUAACCUGCCGUAUACAGGGGGAUAACACUUAGAAAUAGGUGCUAAUACCGCAUAAGCGCACGGUUCCGCAUGGAACAGUGUGAAAAAACUCCGGUGGUAUACGAUGGAUCCGCGUCUGAUUAGCCAGUUGCGGGGUAACGGCCCACCAAAGCGACGAUCAGUAGCCGGCCUGAGAGGGUGGACGGCCACAUUGGACUGAGACACGGCCCAG